GGACAGGUGGCCGAGUGGCUUAAGGCGCACGCCUGGAAAGCGUGUGGUGGGGAAACUCACUCGCGGGUUCGAAUCCCGCCCUGUCCG
RNAcentral lists this transfer RNA (87 nucleotides) under Gemmatimonadaceae bacterium. RNAcentral describes it as "tRNA-Ser". It matches the Rfam family "tRNA". From Rfam's summary of the family: Transfer RNA (tRNA) molecules are approximately 80 nucleotides in length. Their secondary structure includes four short double-helical elements and three loops (D, anti-codon, and T loops). The record is from RNAcentral. RNAcentral also lists the same sequence under 1 other name. Lineage: Bacteria; Pseudomonadati; Gemmatimonadota; Gemmatimonadia; Gemmatimonadales; Gemmatimonadaceae.